AUUGAACGCUGGCGGCAGGCCUAACACAUGCAAGUCGGGCGAGUGGCGGACGGGUGAGUAAUGUAUGGGAAUCUGCCUGAUGGAGGGGGAUAACUACUGGAAACGGUAGCUAAUACCGCAUACCAUCGGAUGUACCCAGAUGGGAUUAGCUUGUAGGUGAGGUAACGGCUCACCUAGGCGACGAUCCCUAGCUGGUCUGAGAGGAUGACCAGCCACACGGGGACUGAGACACGGUCCAGACUCCUACGGGAGGCAGCAGUGGGGAAUAUUGCACAAUGGGCGCAAGCCUGAUGCAGCCAUGCCGCGUGUAUGAAGAAGGCCUUCGGGUUGUAAAGUACUUUCAGUCGGGAGGCGUUACCGACAGAAGAAGCACCGGCUAACUCCGUGCCAGCAGCCGCGGUAAUAC
This 406-nucleotide ribosomal RNA is filed under the name uncultured bacterium. RNAcentral describes it as "partial 16S ribosomal RNA". It matches the Rfam family "Bacterial small subunit ribosomal RNA", at positions 30 to 526 of the family's 1533-position model. The record is from RNAcentral.